RNAcentral lists this ribosomal RNA (351 nucleotides) under uncultured bacterium. RNAcentral's name for it is "bacterial SSU rRNA". It matches the Rfam family "Bacterial small subunit ribosomal RNA", at positions 917 to 1271 of the family's 1533-position model. The record is from RNAcentral.
GGCCCCGCACAAGCGGUGGAGCAUGUGGUUUAAUUCGAUGCAACGCGAAGAACCUUACCAGGACUUGACAUACUACAAAUUCUUUUGAGAAAAAUGAAGUGCCUUCGGGAAUGUAGAUACAGGUGGUGCAUGGCUGUCGUCAGCUCGUGUCGUGAGAUGUUGGGUUAAGUCCCGCAACGAGCGCAACCCUUAUUUUUAGUUACCAAUUCGUUGGGUUCUCUAGAAAGACUGCCGGUGACAAACCGGAGGAAGGUGAGGAUGACGUCAAGUCAGCAUGCCCCUUAUGUCCUGGGCUACACACGUGCUACAAUGGUUAAGACAAAGAGUCGCGAGCUCGCAAGAGUCAGCUAA